UACAGAGGGUGCAAGCGUUGUCCGGAAUCAUUGGGCGUAAAGGGCGCGUAGGUGGCGGGACAAGCGUGCGGUGAAAGCUCGGGGCUCAACCCCGAGUCGGCCGUGCGAACUGUUUUGCUUGAGCACUGUAGAGGCAGGCGGAAUUCCGGGUGUAGCGGUGGAAUGCGUAGAGAUCCGGAAGAACACCGGUGGCGAAGGCGGCCUGCUGGGCAGUAGCUGACACUGAGGCGCGACAGCGUGGGGAGCAAACAGG
Molecule: ribosomal RNA, 253 nt
Filed under: uncultured bacterium
Lineage: Bacteria
Description: partial 16S ribosomal RNA
Rfam family: Bacterial small subunit ribosomal RNA
Source: RNAcentral